AUGCUCCGGGAGGAAGGAGGACAGGGGUUGGCGGGGAGGCGGGGCUCCGGAGAAAGGCCGGCGGUGGGGCGGGGCUCCAGGAGGAGGAAGGAGGGGGCAGGGCUACGGGAGGAAAGGGGAGGGGCUGCGGAAGGCUGGCGGUGGGGCGAGGCUCCCGGAGGAAGGAGGAAGGGGGCGGGGCCCCGGGAGGAAAGAGGAAGGAGCAUACACACUGGCGGUGGGACAGGGAUCCGGAGGAAGGAGGAAAAGGGCAGGGCUCCUGGAGGAAGCAAGGCGGGGCGCGGAACUCCAGGAAGGGCGGGUGGGCCUAGGGGUCCCUACAGCCCCUGUACGCUAGACACCCCGUGCUUCAGCCCAGAGAGGUGGUCCUCACUGUGCUCGGCGUCCUCCGUCCCCGGGUCAGUACACAGAGGUGUCCCCACUGUGGUCGGCGUCCUCUGUCCCCGGGUCAGCACACGGGGCGUCCUCACUGUGGUCAGCGUCCCCAUCCCCCGGGGUCAGCACACCGGGUGUCCUCACUGUGGUCGGCAUCCUCCAUCCCUGGGUCAGCAUACAGGAUGUCCCCAGUGUGGUCGGGGACCUCCGUCCCCCAGGUCGGCACACGGGGUGUCCCCGCUGUGGUCGGCGUCCUCUGUCCCCGGGUCAGCAUACAGGAUGUCCCCGGUGUGGUCGGCGUCCUCCGUCCCCCGGGUCAGCACACGGAAGUGUCCCCACUGUGGUUGGCGUCCUCUGUCCCCAGGUCGGCACUCAGGGUGUCCCCGGCGUGGUCGGCGUCCUCCGUCCCCCGGGUCAGCACACGGAAGUGUCCUCACUGUGGUCGGCGUCCUCUGUCCCCAGCUCAGCACUCAGGGUGUCCCCAGUAUGGUCGGCGUCCUCCGUCCCCCGCGUCAACACACGGAGGUGUCCUCACUGUGGUCCGCGUCCUCCGUCCCCAGUUUCUUUAGCUGGCAGAGGCAAUUCAGGAUUUUCAAACGUGACCUUUAUUCCUGUUGUCUCAGAGAUAUGGUCAGUGCCCCGAUGCCAAGGUAAACACAAUAGGUACUUCCAAAUGCUAGAGGGAUUACCUAAGCAGGUCGUGUCAAAUGAUUGGGCAGCCAGUUCUGGGCAUAUUAGCCCAGGGCUCAGCUCUGGGGUUGGAGUUCAAGAGUCAGCAGUGUUGAAGAGUGGAGUUGAAGAGUGUUUGAGAGAGUCCUUGGCCUGCUGUGAUCAACCCGUC
Molecule: long non-coding RNA, 1216 nt
Filed under: Canis lupus familiaris (dog)
Lineage: Eukaryota; Metazoa; Chordata; Mammalia; Carnivora; Canidae
Description: lncRNA (ENSCAFG00845003718.1)
Source: RNAcentral